RNAcentral lists this ribosomal RNA (424 nucleotides) under uncultured bacterium. Its description in RNAcentral is "bacterial SSU rRNA". It matches the Rfam family "Bacterial small subunit ribosomal RNA", at positions 29 to 496 of the family's 1533-position model. The record is from RNAcentral.
AACGAACGCUGGCGGCAGGCUUAACACAUGCAAGUCGAACGCUCGUCUUCGGACGGGAGUGGCAGACGGGUGAGUAACGCGUGGGAACGUACCCUUCGGUUCGGAAUAACCCGGGGAAACUCGGAUUAAUACCGGAUACGUCCGCAAGGAGAAAGAUUUAUCGCCGAAGGAUCGGCCCGCGUCGGAUUAGCUAGUUGGUGGGGUAAUGGCCCACCAAGGCGACGAUCCGUAGCUGGUCUGAGAGGAUGAUCAGCCACACUGGGACUGAGACACGGCCCAGACUCCUACGGGAGGCAGCAGUGGGGAAUAUUGGACAAUGGGCGAAAGCCUGAUCCAGCCAUGCCGCGUGAGUGAAGAAGGCCUUAGGGUUGUAAAGCUUCUUUCAGCGGGAAGAUAAUGACGGUACCCGCAGAAGAAGCCCCGG